This is a small nuclear RNA of Diceros bicornis minor, 107 nucleotides long. The record is from RefSeq and is a predicted model, not a curated record. Lineage: Eukaryota; Metazoa; Chordata; Mammalia; Perissodactyla; Rhinocerotidae.
GUGCUUGCUUCAGCAGCACAUACACUAAAAUUUGAACCAUACAGAGAAGAUUAGCAUGGCCCUUGUACAAGGAUGACAUGCAAAGUUGUGAAGCAUUCCAUAUUUUU